AUUGAACGCUGGCGGCAGGCCUAACACAUGCAAGUCGAACGAGUGGCGGACGGGGGAGUAAUGUCUGGGAAACUGCCCGAUGGAGGGGGAUAACUACGGGAAACGGUAGCUAAUACCGCAUACCAUCGGAUGUGCGCAGAUGGGAUGAGCUAGUAGGUGGGGUAACGGCUCACCUAGGCGACGAUCCCUAGCGGGUCUGAGAGGAUGAUCAGCCACACUGGAACUGAGACACGGUCCAGACUCCUACGGGAGGCAGCAGUGGGGAAUAUUGCACAAUGGGCGAAAGCCUGAUGCAGCCAUGCCGCGUGUAUGAAGAAGGCCUUCGGGUUGUAAAGCACUUUCAGCGGGGAGGCGUUACUCGCAGAAGAAGCACCGGCUAACUCCGUGCCAGCAGCCGCGGUAAUAC
RNAcentral lists this ribosomal RNA (406 nucleotides) under uncultured bacterium. RNAcentral's name for it is "partial 16S ribosomal RNA". It matches the Rfam family "Bacterial small subunit ribosomal RNA", at positions 29 to 526 of the family's 1533-position model. The record is from RNAcentral.